This 2460-nucleotide ribosomal RNA is filed under the name oral metagenome. RNAcentral describes it as "bacterial LSU rRNA". It matches the Rfam family "Bacterial large subunit ribosomal RNA", at positions 3 to 2539 of the family's 2925-position model. The record is from RNAcentral.
UCAAGCUAUGAAGAGCAAACGGUGGAUGCCUAGGCGCUAAGAGGCGAUGAAGGACGUGGUAGGCUGCGAAAAGCCUUGGGGAGCUGUCAAACGAGCGAUGAUCCGAGGAUGUCCGAAUGGGAGAACCCGUCAUGGUGAGAGCUGUGACACCUGCAUGAUGAACACAUAGUCGUGCGGGGGCGAACGCGGAGAACUGAAACAUCUAAGUACCCGCAGGAAGAGAAAGAAUAAUCGAUUCCCUAAGUAGCGGCGAGCGAACGGGGAAGAGCCCAAACCCACGAGAGUGUAAGCGUUACAGCGUUGCCUCGUGGGGGUAGUGGGAGUUGAGAGUCGGUGGGUGUAACACCGCCGGAUCUGUGUAAUAUAUUAAGCCGAAGCAGACAGGAAAGCUGCUGCCGUAGAGGGUAAUAGCCCCGUAGGUGAAUUUAUAUUGCGUGGAUGUCUUGACCACCCGAGUACGCCGGAACACGUGGAAUUCUGGUGGAAUCAGCGAGGACCACCUCGCAAGGCUAAAUACUGCUUAGCGACCGAUAGUGAACAAGUACCGUGAGGGAAAGGUGAAAAGAACCCCUGUGAGGGGAGUGAAAGAGACCCUGAAACCGUUUGUUUACAUACAGUGGGAGCCCUAGUCCGGGUGUAAGUCUGGAAGGGUGACUGCGUACCUUUUGCAUAAUGAGUCAGCGAGUUACGAUUUGUCGCGAGGUUAAGUCGUUAGAGAUGUAGCCGUAGUGAAAGCGAGCCUUAAUAGGGCUAUUAGUGUCAGGUCGUAGACCCGAAACCGUGUGAUCUAUCCAUGUCCAGGUUGAAAGAUCGGUAAUGCGAUGUGGAGGACCCAACCCACCAAGGUUGAAAACUUGGGGGAUGAGGUGUGGAUAGGGGUGAAAGGCCAAUCAAACUCGGAGAUAGCUGGUUCUCCCCGAAAUAUAUUUAGGUAUAGCCUAGCGAAUCUGUCUUGGAGGUAGGGCGCUGGAUGGGCUAGGGGCCUUCGUAAGGUUACCAACCCCAACCAAACUUCGAAUGCCAAGAUUGUGAUCGUUGGAGUCAGACUGCGAGCGAUAAGGUCCGUAGUCGAGAGGGUAAGAGCCCAGACCGCCAGCUAAGGUCCCCAAGUCCGGCUAAGUGGAAAAGGAUGUGAAAGCGCCGUUACAACCAGGAGGUUGGCUUAGAAGCAGCCACCCUUUAAAGAAAGCGUAAUAGCUCACUGGUCUAGCGAAUUUGCGCCGAAGAUAUACCGGGGCUCAAGCCGGGCACCGAAGCUGCGGAUCUGUGUAAACCAUAGAUGGUAGGGGAGCAUUCUGAAUGCAGCGAAGCGGUAUCGAUAAGACGUCGUGGAGCGUUCAGAAGGGCAGAUGCUGACAUGAGUAACGAUAAGACGAGUGAGAAACUCGUCCGCCGUAAGCUCAAGGUUUCCUGGGGCAGGGUUUUCCUCCCAGGGUUAGUCGGGACCUAAGGCGAGGCCGAAAGGCGUAGUCGAUGGGAAGCAGGCUAAAAUUCCUGCACCUCUUGGUGGUGUGUUUGAGCAUGAGUGAGGACGGAGAAAGUUAGGUCAUCCGGUAGAGAAGUUACCGGUGUAAGCCUGUAGGGUACGAGCGUAGGAGUCGCAAGGCACAAACGCGCUCGUUUAUGCCUGAGAGGUGAUGCGGCGGGGCAUCGCGCCCCUAUAAACUGACUGAUACUCAGCUUCCAAGAAAAGUCACGCAUGUGAAUACCCCAGGAGCUCGUACCGUAAACCAACACAGGUGAGCUGGAAGAGCAUUCCAAGGCGCUUGAGAGACCCCUGGUUAAGGAACUCGGCAAAUUAACACUGUAACUUCGGGAGAAGGUGUGCCUCCAUGGUUAGCGUCCCUACGCGGCGACGUGAAGCUUACGGAGGUUGCAGAGAAAUGGCGGUAGCGACUGUUUACUAAAAACACAGGACUCUGCGAAGUCUCGAAAGACGAAGUAUAGGGUCUGACGCCUGCCCGGUGCCGGAAGGUUAAGGGGACGUGUUAGUGGGUUAAUUCCCGCGAAGCUCUGAACUGAAGCCCCGGUAAACGGCGGCCGUAACUAUAACGGUCCUAAGGUAGCGAAAUUCCUUGUCGGGUAAGUUCCGACCUGCACGAAUGGCGUAACGAAAUACCACCCUGUUCUUUCUGGAAUCCUAACCUUAGAGCCCUGAAUCGGGCUUGGGGACAUUGUCUGGUGGGUAGUUUGACUGGGGCGGUCGCCUCCCAAAAAGUAACGGAGGCGUGCGAAGGUUCCCUCAGACUGAUUGGAAACCAGUCGUGGCGUAUAAAGGCGUAAGGGAGCUUGACUGCGAGAGAGACAUCUCGAGCAGGUGCGAAAGCAGGUCUUAGUGAUCCGGUGGUCCCGAGUGGAAGGGCCAUCGCUCAACGGAUAAAAGGUACUCCGGGGAUAACAGGCUUAUCUCCCCCAAGAGUUCACAUCGACGGGGAGGUUUGGCACCUCGAUGUCGGCUCA